RNAcentral lists this ribosomal RNA (253 nucleotides) under uncultured bacterium. Its description in RNAcentral is "partial 16S ribosomal RNA". It matches the Rfam family "Bacterial small subunit ribosomal RNA", at positions 524 to 776 of the family's 1533-position model. The record is from RNAcentral.
UACGAAGGGGGCUAGCGUUGCUCGGAAUCACUGGGCGUAAAGGGUGCGUAGGCGGGUUUUUAAGUCAGAUGUGAAAGCCCCGAGCUUAACUUGGGAACAGCAUUUGAUACUGUGUGACUAGAGUACGAGAGAGGAAAGUGGAAUUGCGAGUGUAGAGGUGAAAUUCGUAGAUAUUCGCAAGAACACCAGUGGCGAAGGCGACUUUCUGGCUAGUAACUGACGCUAAGGCGCGAAAGCGUGGGGAGCAAACAGG